RNAcentral lists this long non-coding RNA (322 nucleotides) under Nicotiana benthamiana. Its description in RNAcentral is "long non-coding RNA (NBEN_LNC003031)". The record is from RNAcentral. Lineage: Eukaryota; Viridiplantae; Streptophyta; Magnoliopsida; Solanales; Solanaceae.
UUACAAUGAAGUUCACCCGAAUAGGUAUUUCCUACUUGGCUAUUACAAACCAUGUCACUUAGGACAUUAAGAUUACCAAAAUGAACUAGGUUAGAGCAUAUUGCCUUGUUUAGCCUUUUUGUUACCAAAGACCUUUCUUCUAGAUCCGAGAUAAGAGUAUCAUAAACAUAAAGGGUGUGGGGGAUAAUACAAAAUAGUAAAGUCCUUGAUGCCUUGAAUCUCCUUGAUUGCCCUCUUAGCCAUUUGGUGUGUUGCCUUGUUGGCCUUCCUGAAUGUGUGAUGGAUUACUUGGACCUCCAGUUGGAUCAUUAACAACCUGCAA